GACAGAGGGUGCGAACGUUGCUCGGAAUUACUGGGCGUAAAGCGCGUGUAGGCGGGUGAUCAAGUCAGGUGUGAAAUCCCCAGGCUCAACCUGGGAACUGCACUUGAAACUGGUCGCCUUGAGUGUUGGAGAGGCAAGUGGAAUUCCCGGUGUAGCGGUGAAAUGCGCAGAUAUCGGGAGGAACACCAAUGGCGAAGGCAGCUUGCUGGGACGGUCCUGACGCUGAGGCGCGAAAGCGUGGGGAGCAAACAGG
This 253-nucleotide ribosomal RNA is filed under the name uncultured bacterium. RNAcentral describes it as "partial 16S ribosomal RNA". It matches the Rfam family "Bacterial small subunit ribosomal RNA", at positions 524 to 776 of the family's 1533-position model. The record is from RNAcentral.